This 402-nucleotide unclassified non-coding RNA is filed under the name uncultured Glomeromycotina. Its description in RNAcentral is "sequence contains 28S rRNA gene". The record is from RNAcentral. Lineage: Eukaryota; Fungi; Glomeromycota.
AAAGUCAAAUAGUACGUGAAAUUGUUGAAAGGGAAACGAUUGAAGUCAGUCGUACCGAUGGAUAUUCAACUCUUUCGGGUAUGAUUAUGGCGGGAGUGGGAAGAUCUCAUCUCGUUAUAUUUUGUACCUCUGGGGUGUAUUUGUCCGUAUGGUAGGUUAGCAUCAAUUUUGGUCGUCAUAAAAUGACGGGAGGAAUGUAGCUUCCUUUUUGGAAGUGUUAUAGCCUCUGGUAGAUGUGAUGAUCGGGAUUGAGGAUUGCAACGGAUACCCUUCGGGGCUACCUGUCUGAUCUCUGGUCGUCGCUUUGGUGCUGAAAGCGUGCUUACAGUAUUAAAGUCUGGUGGUCAAAAGGUUAGAACGGGUUAAAUUCGUUAAGGAUGUUGACGUAAUGGCUUUAAACGA